This 273-nucleotide long non-coding RNA is filed under the name Homo sapiens (human). Its description in RNAcentral is "HSALNT0354109". Lineage: Eukaryota; Metazoa; Chordata; Mammalia; Primates; Hominidae. The record is from RNAcentral.
AUUCCAUUCUGUUUUUGGUCCGAUGCAUGUCUUAAGCCUUUUGUCAGAUUGAUUUCUUUUACAAAGGAGCUACCUGUGCUCUUCCUGUUCGCACUCAGCACUAAGAAACUCUCAGAACCACACUGAAUCUGUACUUGUGAUGAGCUUCAGAGAUCCUAGAAUCCAAGCCGUCUGGGGAUAGUGUUGAUGGACAGGCCUGGGGCUGAGACUGAGGUUCUAUGUCCAGAGAAGAAACUCGGAUGUUCUUGGAGACAUGGCUGCCCUGGAAUUUGG